UGCUGGCUGCCGCCGCCGCCGCCGCUCGCUGGACGAGUUGUUGUUGUCACACGGUGCGGAGGGGAGGAGCUCCGGCAACUUGAAAUACCCUUUGAAGCAGCAAAAGGCUCACUCACUAGUAUUAACCCAAAUUAUCCAACCAGGAACCCGGAGCAGGAAAACAGAGAGAGAGAGGGAGAGAAGUCCCUCUUCCCCCCCCCCCCCCCCCCCCCCUUCAGGAACCGUUAGAUUACAUGUUUCAUAUUUCACCCCACCAGAGACGAGAUGUAAUUUUCCCAGCCCUUUUCAGCAGUCGCUUGUCAACACAGUUUGUGGAGAAACACGAGCGUCUCCAGCGUUCCCCCGCAGCCGGGCGGGAGCGGGGAAGCCGGGGCGCGGGGCGGGCGCUGGCCGCACACCUUGCCGGGGCCGGGGAGAGGGGGCACCCGCCGACAAAAGCGGAGACCUCCGGAGGGGGCUGCUGUGCCGCCGCUGCCGCCGCUGCCGUUCGCCCGGGACCGCAAACGCUCCCCCCGGCGGGGUGCGAGUUGCUGCCGAGGGUCCGGCGGCAGCGCCGAGGCCCCUUUGUUGCUGCGCGGGGGGCGCAAGGGCAGCCCCACGCGGCAGCAUCUGCCGCGGCCCUCCCUGCGAGCGGGCGCUGCGGGUCACGCCGUCGAGUAAACCGCGGGGGGGGGGGGGGGGGGGGCUGCGGCGGCACCGAAGUAACUUAGGAGAGGGGAAGGCGCCCGCCCCGCCCCGCGCAGGUACCGCCGCGCAACAGGUGGUGGCGGCGCCGCGCAAAAGCCGCGCAGCGGCGGCUCGCGCCUUCCUCCCCGACCCCCCCGCCGCCAGGUAGCGCGGAAAGUCAGCUGGUGCGCUUGCCCACGCAUGCGCAGUGGCGCAGGCGGCGGGACGUGCCUCGGCUGGCGUGGCCGGGCCCCGCGCGUGGCGUGGGACCUGCCCGCCGCCCGCCUCCGCGGUGGGAGUUUUAAGGCGCGUUUGGCAGCUGGCGUGCGUGGGGUCCGUCGGGAAAGCCGGGAGCUUUGUUCUGCUUCUCUCGAGGGCACUUCGCCUUUUUAAAGGGAAAACCAACUCUGUCCAUAUUUUCUUUGCCUCAACUAUCCUUUUGCAUCUCACCUUCUCUUACACCUCGUGAAGACAGAACAGAUCCUCAAGAAGAUCAGGACAGAGCCAGACACGCGUGAUACUGCCACUUGGAGAUCUGAGUGAACUCUGAAUUAGGAAACCUGCCAUUUCAUUUAUUCUCUACCUUCCCUACAACAUGAUGCACACCAGCCCUUCUUCUUUUCCUCUUGCUGUGUGCCCUCACGGAUACAUAAUCCUCAUGGUUCAAAACCAUAUAAAGAAAAUGUAGUUUGAAAGGGUUUACUACCACAGGUUUGGGUUAACUUUGAUCAUUUCAGUGCCACAAUGGGAUUAGAAACCUAGAAAAAAAGAGAUUUAUGAAAAGGUUCAAGACUCCUCAAAGCUUCUGGCUUGGGUCUCGAGCAGCAAUCCUCCUUUCAGGAGCUAUCUGUUACUUAGAGGGAAGACUGAGAAAGAGGGAGGGACCUCAUACUGAAUCCCCCCUGCAUCGCUCAGGAAAAUAGACUCAUAGAAAUGUAAGUCUGUGAAUUGGGAUCCUUUUUUUUCCCCUUCCACCAAAAUACUUACUAAACAUUGAAAACACGAUGAAUACAGUUGAGAUUGAAGUGUUGUACCAGUAAUAAGAAACUGGAUGCUGCAGUGCUGUUUUUCUAAUUGUUGCAUUAUAGUCAAACUAGCACAGACCUUGUCCAAUACAAAUACAAACUGGAUUCCUUUCAGUGACAGGACAAGUAGAUAACAUGCUUAAUAGAUACAAAGGGAGAUUUACCAUUCCAAGCACGAUGUCACGCUAAUUAUGUUUACUCUAAUUGAAAGCAAGGUUUGGGGGAACCUGAAAGUACUCAUAGGAUAUUUUUAAUAACUGAAUAAUAAUAAAGUGCAGCAAACGU
Molecule: long non-coding RNA, 1976 nt
Organism: Aquila chrysaetos chrysaetos
Lineage: Eukaryota; Metazoa; Chordata; Aves; Accipitriformes; Accipitridae
Exons: 3
Source: RefSeq, a predicted model, not a curated record